Molecule: transfer RNA, 71 nt
Filed under: Camelus ferus (Wild Bactrian camel)
Lineage: Eukaryota; Metazoa; Chordata; Mammalia; Artiodactyla; Camelidae
Rfam family: tRNA
About the family: Transfer RNA (tRNA) molecules are approximately 80 nucleotides in length. Their secondary structure includes four short double-helical elements and three loops (D, anti-codon, and T loops).
Source: Rfam by way of RNAcentral
GGUAGUAUAGCUCAGUGGUAGAGCGCAUGGGUAGCAAGCACAAGGUCCUGGUUCAAUCCCCAGUACGUCCA